This 516-nucleotide ribosomal RNA is filed under the name uncultured Acidobacteriota bacterium. RNAcentral describes it as "bacterial SSU rRNA". It matches the Rfam family "Bacterial small subunit ribosomal RNA", at positions 355 to 860 of the family's 1533-position model. Lineage: Bacteria; Pseudomonadati; Acidobacteriota. The record is from RNAcentral.
UGGGGAAUUGUUCGCAAUGGGCGCAAGCCUGACGACGCAACGCCGCGUGGAGGAUGAAGACUUUCGGGUCGUAAACUCCUUUCGACCGAGAUGAAUUUCCGCCGACCCAACACGUCGGUGGAGUGACAGUAUCGAGGGAAGAAGCCCCGGCUAACUCCGUGCCAGCAGCCGCGGUAAUACGGGGGGGGCAAGCGUUGUUCGGAAUUACUGGGCGUAAAGGGUUCGUAGGUGGCCAACUAAGUCAGACGUGAAAUCCCUCAGCUUAACUGGGGAACUGCGUCUGAUACUGAUUGGCUUGAGUGCAGGAGAGGAACGCGGAAUUCCAGGUGUAGCGGUGAAAUGCGUAGAUAUCUGGAGGAACACCGGUGGCGAAGGCGGCGUUCUGGACUGCAACUGACACUGAGGAACGAAAGCCAGGGGAGCAAACGGGAUUAGAUACCCCGGUAGUCCUAGGCCCUAAACGAUGAAUGCUUGGUGUGGCGGGUAUCGAUCCCUGCCGUGCCGAAGUUAACGCGA